CUAAAUUAAGUGCCUAACACAAUGCUAUGACUAAAGCAAGUCAAAAUAGUAUUGAUAAGAGACGCCAUACUUGAGUGCUGAGUGUUGGACUCUACUUAGCGGCGGACGGGUGAGUAACGCGUGGGCAACCUGCCUUGCACAGGGGGAUAACACAGGGAAACUUGUGCUAAUACCGCAUAACAUCACGGGGAGGCAUCUUCCUGUGAUCAAAGGAGAAAUCCGGUGCAAGAUGGGCCCGCGUCCGAUUAGCUAGUUGGCGGUGUAACGGACCACCAAGGCGACGAUCGGUAGCCGAACUGAGAGGUUGAUCGGCCACAUUGGGACUGAGACACGGCCCAGACUCCUACGGGAGGCAGCAGUGGGGAAUAUUGCGCAAUGGAGGAAACUCUGACGCAGCAACGCCGCGUGAAGGAUGAAGGUCUUCGGAUUGUAAACUUCUUUGAUGAGGGACGAAGGAAGUGACGGUACCUCAAAAACAAGCCACGGCUAACUACGUG
Molecule: ribosomal RNA, 497 nt
Filed under: uncultured bacterium
Lineage: Bacteria
Description: bacterial SSU rRNA
Rfam family: Bacterial small subunit ribosomal RNA
Source: RNAcentral